GACGAACGCUGGCGGCGUGCUUAACACAUGCAAGUCGAACGGAAAGGCCCUGCUUUCAGGGUACUCUAGUGGCCAACGGGUGAGUAACUCGUGCGUGAUCUGCCCUCCUCUUCGGGAUAAGCCUGGUCAACUGGCUCUAGUACCUACUAGGUGCCAUUUUUAGUCUUAUGGUUGGAAAGUUUUUUCGGUGUUGGAUGAGCUCGCGGCCUAUCAGCUUGUUGGUUGGGUAAUGGCUGACCAAAGCGGCGACGGGUAGCCGGCCUGGGAGGGUGGACGGCCACAGAGGGACUGAGAGACGGCCCAGAAGCCGACGGGAGGCAGCAGGGGGGAAGAUUGCACAAUGAGCGCAAGGCUGAUGAAGAGACGCCGCGUGGGGGAUGACGGCCUUCGGGUGGUAAAAGCCGUUCGCAAGGGACGAAGCAUUUUGUGACGGUACCUAGAUAGGAAGCAACGGCUAACUACGUG
This 465-nucleotide ribosomal RNA is filed under the name uncultured bacterium. RNAcentral's name for it is "partial 16S ribosomal RNA". It matches the Rfam family "Bacterial small subunit ribosomal RNA", at positions 28 to 507 of the family's 1533-position model. The record is from RNAcentral.